This is a non-coding RNA of Triticum urartu, 124 nucleotides long. The record is from Rfam. Lineage: Eukaryota; Viridiplantae; Streptophyta; Magnoliopsida; Poales; Poaceae.
UGUAUACUCCUCUGUUCGGAAAUACUUGUCGGAGGAAUGAAUGUAUCUAGUCGUAUUUUAGUUUUAGAUGCAUCCAUUUUUAUCCAUUCCAGAGACAAGUAUUUCCGGACGGAGUGAGUACUAC